CAGCAGCCGCGGUAAUACGUAGGGGGCGAGCGUUGUCCGGAAUGACUGGGCGUAAAGGGUGCGUAGGUGGUUUAAUAAGUUAGAAGUGUAAUACCCAGGGCUUAACUCGGGUGCUGCUUCUAAAACUAUUAGGCUUGAGUGUAGUAGAGGAAAGCGGAAUUCAAUGUGUAGCGGUGGAAUGCGUAGAUAUAUUGAAGAACAUCAGUGGCGAAGGCGGCUUUCUGGACUAUAACUGACACUGAGGCACGAAAGCGUGGGGAGCAAACAGGAUUAGAUACCCUGGUAGUCCACGCCGUAAACGAUGGAUACUAGAUGCAGGAGGUAUUCACUCCUUCUGUGUCGCAGCUAACGCAAUAAGUAUCCCGCCUGGGGAGUACGAUCGCAAGAUUAAAACUCAAAGGAAUUGACGGGGACCCGCACAGGCAGCGGAGCAUGUGGUUUAAUUCGAAGCAACGCGAAAAACCUUACCAAGACUUGACAUCAGUAUGACUAUCAUAGAAAUAUGGUAUCUCGCAAGAGCAUACUGACAGGUGGUGCAUGGUUGUCGUCAGCUCGUGUCGUGAGAUGUUAGGUUAAGUCCUGCAACGAGCGCAACCCUUAUAACUAGUUGCCAAUAUUAAGUUAGGAACUCUAGUUAGACUGCCGUGGUCAACACGGAGGAAGGUGGGGAUGACGUCAAAUCAUCAUGCCCCUUACGUCUUGGGCUACACAUGUGCUACAAUGGCUAUUACAAAGAGUUGCAAGUUGGUAACAGCAAGCUAAUCUCAAAAAAAUAGUCUCAGUUCGGAUUGUGGGCUGCAACCCGCCCACAUGAAGUCGGAGUUGCUAGUAAUCCCGAACCAGCAUGUCGGGGUGAAUGCGUUCCCGGGUCUUGUACACACCGCCCGUCACGCCAUGGGAGUUGGUAGUACCCAAAGUCGGUGAGCUAACCGCAAGGAAGCAGCCGCCUAAGGUAAGAUCAAUGACUGGGGUGAAGUCGUAACAAGGUAGCCGU
This 994-nucleotide ribosomal RNA is filed under the name uncultured Eubacteriales bacterium. Its description in RNAcentral is "bacterial SSU rRNA". It matches the Rfam family "Bacterial small subunit ribosomal RNA", at positions 509 to 1503 of the family's 1533-position model. Lineage: Bacteria; Bacillati; Bacillota; Clostridia; Eubacteriales. The record is from RNAcentral.